RNAcentral lists this ribosomal RNA (301 nucleotides) under uncultured bacterium. RNAcentral describes it as "partial 16S ribosomal RNA". It matches the Rfam family "Bacterial small subunit ribosomal RNA", at positions 509 to 809 of the family's 1533-position model. The record is from RNAcentral.
CAGCCGCCGCGGUAAUACAGAGGGUGCGAGCGUUAAUCGGAUUUACUGGGCGUAAAGCGUGCGUAGGCGGCUUUUUAAGUCGGAUGUGAAAUCCCUGAGCUUAACUUAGGAAUUGCAUUCGAUACUGGGAAGCUAGAGUAUGGGAGAGGAUGGUAGAAUUCCAGGUGUAGCGGUGAAAUGCGUAGAGAUCUGGAGGAAUACCGAUGGCGAAGGCAGCCAUCUGGCCUAAUACUGACGCUGAGGUACGAAAGCAUGGGGAGCAAACAGGAUUAGAUACCCCGGUAGUCCCUGUCUCUUAUAA